Molecule: long non-coding RNA, 361 nt
Filed under: Homo sapiens (human)
Lineage: Eukaryota; Metazoa; Chordata; Mammalia; Primates; Hominidae
Description: non-protein coding lnc-KIF16B-5:1
Source: RNAcentral
ACCUUCUCCUUUGGCUGAUCACCCAGCAGGCGCUUGCCAACGGCAACACCUACCACCCAAAGUGCUUGAUAUUACAGAGGAAACUGCACUCUCGCUUCCUGGAGGGUGUCUGCCAUGUUGCCACCAUGUGCAUGCCGACUGGGUAUCCACCUGUGAUGUCAGUUCCUUGUCUAUCAUCAGUGGGUACAAGAAGGUCCUGGCUUUGUCUAUGGAGACUGAGUUCACCUUCCCCCGCCAUGAGAAGGUCAAGGUCUUCUUUGUUGAUCCGGCUGCAUUGGUGGUUGCUUCCCCAGCCGAGGUUGAAGCAAAGGAAGGGCUGGAGGAGUUGAAUAAGGAUGUGGGAUUUGGUCUUUUUGACUGA